Oncorhynchus tshawytscha (Chinook salmon) is the source of this 485-nucleotide long non-coding RNA. Lineage: Eukaryota; Metazoa; Chordata; Actinopteri; Salmoniformes; Salmonidae. The record is from Ensembl.
CCUAAAGUUGGUUUAGAAAAGUAAGUUGAAGUGAUUUGUUAAAGUAUAUAGGUAACUUUUGUAAUUUUAAAAAGUGACGUUGCAUCAUGUAAAGGGGCAUUUUUCUGGAUCAGACCGGUCUUCAGCAAAUCACAUUUUGGGUAUACAAUGACGGAUUUAAUCGGGAAAAAGACCCAAUUGUGAUGUUUAUGUGACAUAUAGGAGUGCCAAGAAAGAAGCUCGUCAAAGGAUCCAUGAUUGGCUGAUAUACUGGAGGGUUUGGACAUGCCGAGAGAUUCUGUAACGCUCGUCGUUGGAAUGAGGUGAGGACCAAAGCGCAGCGUGGAAAUCUGCCGUUACAUGAUCACCUUCACCUGAGAGAAACAUUGGUCAAAUCUCACCUGAUUGGGUCUGCUGGAUGAUUAGGACUUCUCCCUAAGGAUUAGCCCUCUAACUUCCCGACUCUGCGAUGAGGUCGACAGUGUGAUAGGGAAGUAUAAGCCAAU